UUUCCGUAGGUGAACCUGCGGAAGGAUCAUUAAUGAAUUGUAAUCGGAGUUGAUGCUGGCAGCUUGGCUGCAUGUGCUCGCUCCUAACAAUCUUCAUCCAAACACCUGUGCACAUUUAGAGAGGGUCUCCGAGUUCUCCUUGGAGUCCCUUCCUCUCAUUAUACACUUUAUUUUAAUAUUGAACGUGAUUGUGCCGUGAGGCCUUAAUAUUAAUACAACUUUUAACAACGGAUCUCUUGGCUCUC
Molecule: unclassified non-coding RNA, 245 nt
Filed under: soil metagenome
Description: partial contains small subunit ribosomal RNA, internal transcribed spacer 1, and 5.8S ribosomal RNA
Source: RNAcentral